UGGACCAAAUCAAGCUUAGAGUCAACCAGCUCGUAGAGUAUGUCAACUGUACAAAAUGGCAUUCAUGUCUGUUUCCUGCUGGCAAUUAAUAGACUUGACCUUAGAGCUUCCUCCAGUGACCGUUACCAUUUUCACACCAGUAGGCUAGGUGAAGCGUGCGAGUCGGUACAAACUGCUGGCGUGUUUGAUGCAGACAGCUGCGUUCCUGGAAGAAAACAUCACUGCUGCUGCCUCUGCCCUGGAAGGAGCCAGCAAAGGUUUGAGCCCUCCGGGGAGGGGAGCAGUGUCGUCUUGGUUUGGGGAGGCAAGGUUCACAGCCUGAAGAAGAGCGGCAGAACUGAGAAGACAGCCCUGCACCAGCCUAGGACAUCGCAUUUGAUCACCCACGCUGCUCUUAUUCUGUGA
Molecule: long non-coding RNA, 405 nt
Filed under: Apteryx owenii (little spotted kiwi)
Lineage: Eukaryota; Metazoa; Chordata; Aves; Apterygiformes; Apterygidae
Description: lncRNA (ENSAOWG00000007461.1)
Source: RNAcentral